UACAGAGGUCCCGAGCGUUGUUCGGAUUCACUGGGCGUAAAGGGUGCGUAGGCGGUCGGGUAAGUCUGACGUGAAAUCUUCAAGCUUAACUUGGAAACUGCGUCGGAUACUAUUCGGCUAGAGGAAUGGAGGGGAGACUGGAAUACUUGGUGUAGCAGUGAAAUGCGUAGAUAUCAAGUGGAACACCAGUGGCGAAGGCGGCGUUCUGGACUGCAACUGACACUGAAAAACGAAAGCCAGGGGAGCAAACGGG
Molecule: ribosomal RNA, 253 nt
Filed under: uncultured bacterium
Lineage: Bacteria
Description: partial 16S ribosomal RNA
Rfam family: Bacterial small subunit ribosomal RNA
Source: RNAcentral